CGGUAAUACGUAGGUGGCAAGCGUUGUCCGGAUUUAUUGGGCGUAAAGCGAGCGCAGGCGGUUUUUUAAGUCUGAUGUGAAAGCUUUCGGCUUAACCGGAGAAGUGCAUCGGAAACUGGGAGACUUGAGUGCAGAAGAGGACAGUGGAACUCCAUGUGUAGCGGUGGAAUGCGUAGAUAUAUGGAAGAACACCAGUGGCGAAGGCGGCUGUCUAGUCUGUAACUGACGCUGAGGCUCGAAAGCAUGGGUAGCGAACAGGAUUAGAUACCCUGGUAGUCCAUGCCGUAAACGAUGAGUGCUAAGUGUUGGAGGGUUUCCGCCCUUCAGUGCUGCAGCUAACGCAUUAAGCACUCCGCCUGGGGAGUACGACCGCAAGGUUGAAACUCAAAGGAAUUGACGGGGGCCCGCACAAGCGGUGGAGCAUGUGGUUUAAUUCGAAGCUACGCGAAGAACCUUACCAGGUCUUGACAUCUUCUGCCAAUCUUAGAGAUAAGACGUUCCCUUCGGGGACAGAAUGACAGGUGGUGCAUGGUUGUCGUCAGCUCGUGUCGUGAGAUGUUGGGUUAAGUCCCGCAACGAGCGCAACCCUUAUUAUCAGUUGCCAGCAUUCAGUUGGGCACUCUGGUGAGACUGCCGGUGACAAACCGGAGGAAGGUGGGGAUGACGUCAAAUCAUCAUGCCCCUUAUGACCUGGGCUACACACGUGCUACAAUGGACGGUACAACGAGUCGCGAAGUCGUGAGGCUAAGCUAAUCUCUUAAAGCCGUUCUCAGUUCGGAUUGUAGGCUGCAACUCGCCUACAUGAAGUUGGAAUCGCUAGUAAUCGCGGAUCAGCAUGCCGCGGUGAAUACGUUCCCGGGCCUUGUACACACCGCCCGUCACACCAUGAGAGUUUGUAACACCCAAAGCCGGUGAGAUAACC
Molecule: ribosomal RNA, 922 nt
Filed under: Levilactobacillus brevis
Lineage: Bacteria; Bacillati; Bacillota; Bacilli; Lactobacillales; Lactobacillaceae
Description: bacterial SSU rRNA
Rfam family: Bacterial small subunit ribosomal RNA
Source: RNAcentral